Austrofundulus limnaeus is the source of this 566-nucleotide long non-coding RNA. RefSeq lists it as uncharacterized. NCBI's taxonomy places the organism in Eukaryota, Metazoa, Chordata, Actinopteri, Cyprinodontiformes, Rivulidae. The record is from RefSeq and is a predicted model, not a curated record. The transcript has 4 exons.
GGCGCUUGGAUCGAGUCGAGGCCGUGUGCUGUAAAAGUGGGUGCCAUGGACCGUGAAGAACAAUCUGAAGUCUGUCCCACAAAGACUCAAGAAUUGUUGUCAAAGGCCGAGUUGGGUUUGAGAGACAUAGAGAAGAUGCUCAGCUGGUUUACUACAACUGACCCCUCCGGUAACACAGGCAUUAGUAAGGAGCGCCAGAUUGACACAGAGGAAAAUACCCUGGUCAGGUUUGGGAGUGCAGCAGCCAAGGACGACUAGAGGAUGCAAAGUUUACAAUCCAGAGCAGGACGAUGACACAACAUCAUCAAAUAAAUGAUUCCGUUUUUUUGCCCAACAUCAUCUGGAUCAGAGAAUUCAGAGACACACAACUGACAAGAUGAUUGCAUUAAAGUCAUUGUAAAAUGUGUCUCCUUACUACUGAAUGAACAUAAGCCAGAUUUUCUUGUUUCUAAGUAUGCAAGACGUUAAGGAUUUACAAGGUACUAGUUUCUUGUUGAGUGUUUAAUAAAGUGUUUGACAGUUUUAAUGUUUUUAGAUAUUACAUAUGUGAUUAAAAUAUUUGAGUU